RNAcentral lists this small RNA (573 nucleotides) under Pongo abelii (Sumatran orangutan). Its description in RNAcentral is "processed transcript". Lineage: Eukaryota; Metazoa; Chordata; Mammalia; Primates; Hominidae. The record is from RNAcentral.
AUUGCUCAAGCGCUCUCUGCCCGGCCCCCUCUGAGUGUGGUUUUCCUCCCAGGCCAGCACCAAACCCAGAAUAGAGUGGCUGACUUGCUGAUUGAGGUCGGCAGCUCCCAAGAAGCAGGAGAAGCAGAGUUUUGCAGACAGACCCACGAAGUCAAACAUGCGGAGUGCAGCCAAGCCCUGGAGCCCAGCCAUCAGAGCAGGGGGCCACGGCCCAGACCGGGUGCGGCCUCUGCCUGCAGCCUCUUCGGGCAUGAAGAGUUCUAAGUCUUCAACUUCCUUGGCUUUUGAGUCCCGACUCAGCAGGCUCAAGAGGGCCAGCAGUGAGGACACGCUCAACAAGCCAGGAAGUACCGCCACAUCGGGGGUGGUUCGCCUGAAGAAGACCGCCACUUCCGGAGCCAUCUCGGAGCUCACGGAGAGCCGCCUGAGGAGCGGCACAGGGGCCUUUACAACAACCAAACGGACAGGCAUUCCAGCGCCACGGGAAUUUUCAGUAACUGUCUCAAGAGAGAGGUCUGUGCCACGUGGUCCCUCCAAUCCCAGGAAAUCGGUGUCUAGUCCAACUUCUUCCAA